GAGUUUGAUCGUGGCUCAGGACGAACGCUGGCGGCAUGCCUAAUACAUGCAAGUCGAACGAGGUUUCCUUAAUGAUGGUUGGUGCUUGCAUCAACUUGACUUAAGAUCUAACCGAGUGGCGAACUGGUGAGUAACACGUGGGGAACCUGCCCUUAAGUAGGGGAUAACAUUUGGAAACAAAUGCUAAUACCGUAUAACAACAUAAACCACAUGGUUUAUGCUUGAAAGAUGGCUCUGCUAUCGCUUUUGGAUGGACCCGCGGCGUAUUAGCUAGUUGGUGAGAUAAUGGCUCACCAAGGCGAUGAUACGUAGCCGACCUGAGAGGGCAAUCGGCCACAUUGGAACUGAGACACGGUCCAGACUCCUACGGGAGGCAGCAGUAGGGAAUCUUUCACAAUGGGGGAAACCCUGAUGCAGCGACGCCGCGUGAGUGAAGAAGUAUUUCGGUAUGUAAAGCUCUAUCAGCAGGGAAGAAAAUGACGGUACCUGAUUAAGAAGAC
RNAcentral lists this ribosomal RNA (500 nucleotides) under uncultured Lactobacillus sp. RNAcentral describes it as "bacterial SSU rRNA". It matches the Rfam family "Bacterial small subunit ribosomal RNA", at positions 9 to 492 of the family's 1533-position model. Lineage: Bacteria; Bacillati; Bacillota; Bacilli; Lactobacillales; Lactobacillaceae. The record is from RNAcentral.